UACGUAGGGUGCAAGCGUUAAUCGGAAUUACUGGGCGUAAAGCGUGCGCAGGCGGUUUUGUAAGUCUGUCGUGAAAUCCCCGGGCUCAAACUGGGAAUUGCGAUGGAGACUGCAAGGCUAGAAUCUGGCAGAGGGGGGUAGAAUUCCACGUGUAGCAGUGAAAUGCGUAGAGAUGUGGAGGAACACCGAUGGCGAAGGCAGCCCCCUGGGUCAAGAUUGACGCUCAUGCACGAAAGCGUGGGGAGCAAACAGG
Molecule: ribosomal RNA, 253 nt
Filed under: uncultured bacterium
Lineage: Bacteria
Description: partial 16S ribosomal RNA
Rfam family: Bacterial small subunit ribosomal RNA
Source: RNAcentral